Molecule: unclassified non-coding RNA, 230 nt
Filed under: uncultured fungus
Lineage: Eukaryota; Fungi
Description: sequence contains ITS1, 5.8S rRNA gene
Rfam family: 5.8S ribosomal RNA (bases 182-230)
Source: RNAcentral
UCUCCGUUGGUGAACCAGCGGAGGGAUCAUUACUGAGUGAGGGUUUAACCGCCCGACCUCCAACCCCAUGUGAACCGAAACCUGUUGCUUCGGGGGCGACCCUGCCGUUCGCGGCGUGGGGCCCCCGGAGCCCAUCAAACCCUGCGUAACUAAGUCGUCGGAGUUUAAACAAAUUAAACAAAACUUUCAACAACGGAUCUCUUGGUUCGGGCAUCGAUGAAGAACGCAGC